UACGGAGGGGGCGAGCGUUGUUCGGAAUUACUGGGCGUAAAGGGCGCGUAGGCGGCCCAUCAAGUUAGGCGUGAAAGCCCCGGGCUCAACCUGGGAAUUGCGUUUAAGACUGGUGAGCUAGAGUAUGGUAGAGGGUGGUGGAAUUUCCUGUGUAGCGGUGAAAUGCGUAGAUAUAGGAAGGAACACCAGUGGCGAAGGCGACCACCUGGACUGAUACUGACACUGAGGUGCGAAAGCGUGGGGAGCAAACAGGAUUAGAAA
RNAcentral lists this ribosomal RNA (261 nucleotides) under uncultured bacterium. RNAcentral's name for it is "partial 16S ribosomal RNA". It matches the Rfam family "Bacterial small subunit ribosomal RNA", at positions 524 to 784 of the family's 1533-position model. The record is from RNAcentral.